RNAcentral lists this ribosomal RNA (1688 nucleotides) under Sphingobacterium gobiense. RNAcentral describes it as "Bacterial large subunit ribosomal RNA". It matches the Rfam family "Bacterial large subunit ribosomal RNA", at positions 1217 to 2925 of the family's 2925-position model. The record is from Rfam by way of RNAcentral. Lineage: Bacteria; Pseudomonadati; Bacteroidota; Sphingobacteriia; Sphingobacteriales; Sphingobacteriaceae.
AUCUACCAUUGGUAGGGGAGCAUUCCAUGUGGGGCGAAUCGCCAGGGUGACCUGGCGUGGACCGCAUGGAAAAGCAAAUGUAGGCAUGAGUAACGAUAAGGCGGGUGGGAAACCCGCCCACCGAAAGACCAAGGUUUCCUGAUCAACGCUAAUCGGAUCAGGGUCAGUCGGGACCUAAGGCCCACCCGAACGGGGAUGGCCGAUGGACAACCGGUUAAUAUUCCGGUACCCUUUUAUACUGCGAUGCGGUGACGUAGAGGUGGAACUGCCGCGCACUGACGGAAUAGUGCGUUGAAGGGGGUAGGUAUUGGAGCUGUAGGCAAAUCCGCAGCACCAGCCGAGACCCGACAGUACUGCAAAGCUUCGGCUGCGCAGAUAGUGCAGGUAAUCGUACUACCGAGAAAACCCGCUAAGCUCCAGGUAUAUAAGGCCCGUACCGCAAACCGACACAGGUGGUCGAGGAGAGGAUCCUAAGGUGCUCGAGUUAACCAUGGCUAAGGAACUCGGCAAAAUGGCCCUGUAACUUCGGGAGAAGGGGCGCUGUCUCAGCGAUGAGCAGCCGCAGUGAAAAGGCCCAGGCGACUGUUUAACAAAAACAUAUGGCUUUGCGAAAUCGCAAGAUGAAGUAUAAGGCCUGACACCUGCCCGGUGCCGGAAGGUUAAGAGGGGAUGUCAACCUUCGGGUGAAGCAUUGAAUCGAAGCCCCGGUAAACGGCGGCCGUAACUAUAACGGUCCUAAGGUAGCGAAAUUCCUUGUCGGGUAAGUUCCGACCUGCACGAAUGGUGUAACGAUCUGGGCGCUGUCUCAGCCAUGGGCUCGGUGAAAUUGUGGUGCCGGUGAAGACGCCGGCUACCCGCAACGGGACGGAAAGACCCCAUGAACCUUCACUAUAGCUUAACAUUGUGGACCUGUACGUGAUGUGUAGGAUAGGCGGGAGAUAUCGAAGCGGUUUCGCCAGGAACCGUGGAAUCGUCCUUGAAAUACCGCCCUUUGCGUACGGGUUCCCUAACCCUUAAAAUUAGGGGGACAUUGUUUGGUGGGUAGUUUGACUGGGGUGGUCGCCUCCAAAAAGGUAACGGAGGCUUUCAAAGGUAAGCUCAGUACGCUUGGUAACCGUACGCGGAGUGCAAUGGCAAAAGCUUGCUUGACUGUGGGGCCUACAAGCCGAUCAGGGUCGAAAGACGGACAUAGUGAUCCGGUGGUUCCGUAUGGAAGGGCCAUCGCUCAAAGGAUAAAAGGUACUCUGGGGAUAACAGGCUGAUCUCCCCCAAGAGCUCAUAUCGACGGGGAGGUUUGGCACCUCGAUGUCGGCUCGUCACAUCCUGGGGCUGGAGAAGGUCCCAAGGGUUGGGCUGUUCGCCCAUUAAAGUGGCACGCGAGCUGGGUUCAGAACGUCGCGAGACAGUUCGGUCCCUAUCUGUUGUGGGCGUUGGAAGUCUGAGUGGGUCUGGCCUUAGUACGAGAGGACCGGGCUGGACGCACCUCUGGUGAACCAGUUAUGCCGCCAGGUGUACGGCUGGGUAGCUACGUGCGGUGUGGAUAAGCGCUGAAAGCAUCUAAGUGCGAAACCCGCCACGAGAUUAGGCUUCCUUACAGGGCCGUGGGAGACUACCACGUUGAUAGGCCGCAGGUGUAAAGGUAGAGAUACCAUAGCCGAGCGGUACUAAUAGCCCGAAGCUUUCCGCGC